Molecule: long non-coding RNA, 2030 nt
Organism: Hypanus sabinus (Atlantic stingray)
Lineage: Eukaryota; Metazoa; Chordata; Chondrichthyes; Myliobatiformes; Dasyatidae
Exons: 4
Source: RefSeq, a predicted model, not a curated record
GGGGAUUCAGGAGUGAAACUGGUGUCUGCGGCUCUGAGGACCCGGAGUGUAAAAUACAGACACUGUGGCUGACCCGUGUCGGUCUCACAGAUUCUGGUGCCGAGGAUCUCGUCUCCGCUCUCAGUACAAACCCAUCACUGACGGAGCUGGACCUGAGUGGUAAUAAACUGGGGGAUUCAGGAGUGAAACUGGUGUCUGCGGCUCUGAGGAACCCGGAGUGUAAAAUACAGAGACUGUGGCUGACCCGUGUCGGUCUCACAGAUUCUGGGGCCGAGGAUCUCGUCUCCACUCUCAGUACAAACCCAUCACUGACGGAGCUGGACCUGAGUGAUAAUAAACUGGGGGAUUCAGGAGUGAAACUGGUGUCUGCGGCUCUGAGGAACCCGGAGUGUAAAAUACAGAGACUGGGGUAAGUACCAGACUGUGGGAGAUUGUGUUUACAGUCACUGGGUGUCUGACACUGAACAUUAAUGUGAUCAGUAAUUGUGUUACUGAUAAACACUGGGGAUUUGUACCGUCUCCUGUCUCUCUGUGUCCUUCACCCUCACUCUCUCUCAUCUCCAGGCUGUACAAUGUCGGUCUCACAGAUUCUGGGGCCGAGGAUCUCGUCUCCGCUCUCAGUACAAACCCAUCACUGACGGGGCUGAACCUGGGAUACAACUCUCUGACAGACCGAUCUGUCCCCGCUCUCCGCCGCCUCAUACUGACCCACCCGAGUCUGGAGCGGAUCUGGCUGCGGGGGAAUCGGUUCAGUGAGACCGGGAUGAAGGAACUGAGAUCUCUACGGGAACCCAGACCCGGACUGAUGGUGGAUCUGUGAACAUCUGAAUGUGGGGAAUCGGUUCAGUGAGACCGGGAUGAAGGAACUGAGAUCUCUACGGGAACCCAGACCCGGACUGAUGGUGGAUCUGUGAACAUCUGAAUGUGGGGAAUCGGUUCAGUGAGACCGGGAUGAAGGAACUGAGAUCUCUACAGGAACCCAGACCCGGACUGAGAGUGGAUCUGAGAACAUCUGAAUGUGGUGAAUCGGUUCAGUGAGACCGGGAUGAAGGAACUGAGAUCUCUACAGGAACCCAGACCCGGACUGAGAGUGGAUCUGUGAACAUCUGAAUGUGGUGAAUCGGUUCAGUGAGACCGGGAUGAAGGAACUGAGAUCUCUACAGGAACCCAGACCCGGACUGAUGGUGGAUCUGUGAACAUCUGAAUGUGGGGAAUCGGUUCAGUGAGACCGGGAUGAAGGAACUGAGAUCUCUACAGGAACCCAGACCCGGACUGAGAGUGGAUCUGAGGACAUUUAGCCUUUAACCUUGAUCUUACCUGGAACCCAGACCCGGACUGAUGGUGGAUCUGAAUCUGUGAACAUCCCCGCCCGCGGGGUGGGGACAUUUGGCCGACUCCCCGCCCUCCCCUUUAACUCCCGCCCUUACCUUUAACGGCCGCGCGCCGGGGCUGAUUCCCAACGGUUUUAACGGAACCGGCACGGGCCUCGCGCUGUGUGCGUCGCUCGCAGCGGUCCCGCAGUGACGUGUUUCCGCCUGUUGUCCGGCGGGGCAGCUUCCGCCGGAAGUGCGUGUUGGAGACUCCCCACGUGACUCCCGGGGAAUAACCCGGACAGGAAGAGCCCGGGGGUCCGGGGCUCAGUCUGGGACACCGGUGUCCCGGGGUGGGGGGGAUGGUCCCGGGAGAGAAUCCUUUUGCCCCCUUUGCUGAGGACGGUGCAUUCCGCAGCCUGGCCGAUAUAAUGAUGUUAAAUGGACAAAUCCCUCGGCAGUGACCCUGGAUCUGCAGCGAUCCCGGUCACGGCCCCGAAGUGUGAUUUUAUAAUCAGUUUUAUAAUUUUAUAAUCAGUUCCCCGAUGCAGAGUGACGGUGAGAAACGGGACUGGUUAUUAUUCAACCGGUCACCCCUUGUCGCCGGUCAGUUAAUUGUGUGUGACUGUCAGCAGAUUAUUUAUUACCGCACGUUAGCAGCUCACACAUUGUUUCAUUGAUAUUUCUCAUAAAAAUCAAUAAACCACUGUAUCUUCCUGU